AAAGGAAUAGACGGGGGCCCGCACAAGCGGUGGAGCAUGUGGUUUAAUUCGAUGAUACGCGAGGAACCUUACCAGGGUUUAAAUGGGAUCUGCAUAACGUGGAAACAUGUUAGUCGCAAGACAGAUUUCAAGGUGCUGCAUGGUUGUCGUCAGCUCGUGUCGUGAGAUGUUAGGUUAAGUCCUGCAACGAGCGCAACCCCCAUGGUCCGUUACUAACAGGUUAAGCUGAGGACUCAGGCCAGACUGCCGGCGUAAGCUGUGAGGAAGGUGGGGAUGACGUCAAAUCAUCACGGCCCUUACACCCUGGGCCACACACGUGCUACAAUGGCCGGUACAGAGAGCAGCCACCCCGCGAGGGGGAGCGAAUCUAUAAAGCCGGUCACAGUUCGGAUCGCAGUCUGCAACUCGACUGCGUGAAGCUGGAAUCGCUAGUAAUCGCGCAUCAGCCAUGGCGCGGUGAAUACGUUCCCGGGCCUUGUACACACCGCCCGU
This 492-nucleotide ribosomal RNA is filed under the name uncultured bacterium. Its description in RNAcentral is "bacterial SSU rRNA". It matches the Rfam family "Bacterial small subunit ribosomal RNA", at positions 903 to 1397 of the family's 1533-position model. The record is from RNAcentral.